Molecule: long non-coding RNA, 712 nt
Filed under: Cercocebus atys (sooty mangabey)
Lineage: Eukaryota; Metazoa; Chordata; Mammalia; Primates; Cercopithecidae
Description: lncRNA (ENSCATG00000045504.1)
Source: RNAcentral
GAAGUUUGAAACUCAAGGCGCAGAAUAUACUCCUUCCCCAAUAUUUCUGCAGCUAUUUUAUUGGGACCAAUAAUUUAUGCAAAUAUAAGGCUGAACAGUUGGGCUCCUCUGGGAGCUUUCCACUGUGUUGGUGCUAGUUUGGAUCGUAAAUGUGCGUGCGCGCGCCCGCGCCCGCGCGCGCGCGGAAAAACCGGGUAUUUCCCUGAAAGAGUUGAGUUGACACCAAGAGGUCACUCCCCUGAGGAGACGGCUACAGGGCGGUGAUUCGCCUCCGGGAUGGUGGCGGCGAUUCCGUGCACCCUCCUGCUGUUGGACAUCAGUUAUAUUUCAGGCUUUCAAAGUAAACGACGAACUCAGCACUUUGGCAGAGUCCAAAAUCCGCCAGCGAACUUGGGUGCUAGAGAGUUCGGCGGGAAGAAAAGCGCCCGGGCUGCGCCGACCGCCGGCCCCAAGCCGCCGCGGGCCCCGAGGAGUCGGCCGAGCUGCUCCCGCGCCCUAGCCGGUGUAAGCCUCAUGUAUGAGUCAUGGAUGAAAAAUCAAGGACAGAAGAGCCCGUGGGUCCACAAUCACACUUUUCCUGGGGACUGCAGGAGCUGCCUGGGACACCCUCUCCUUUCAGAAGAUGUGUCCCUAACACAGAGGGUGCCCAUGUUGCAGUCAGGCUUCCCAUGUCUAGCCACAGAUGACAUCUUCAUGUCUAUCAGGCUCCUCC